This 484-nucleotide ribosomal RNA is filed under the name uncultured bacterium. Its description in RNAcentral is "partial 16S ribosomal RNA". It matches the Rfam family "Bacterial small subunit ribosomal RNA", at positions 29 to 507 of the family's 1533-position model. The record is from RNAcentral.
AUUGAACGCUGGCGGCAUGCUUUACACAUGCAAGUCGAACGGCAGCGCGGGCUUCGGCCUGGCGGCGAGUGGCGAACGGGUGAGUAAUACAUCGGAACGUGCCCAGUAGUGGGGGAUAGCUCGGCGAAAGCCGGAUUAAUACCGCAUACGACCUGAGGGUGAAAGCGGGGGAUCUUCGGACCUCGCGCUAUUGGAGCGGCCGAUGGCAGAUUAGCUAGUUGGUGGGGUAAAGGCCUACCAAGGCGACGAUCUGUAGCUGGUCUGAGAGGACGACCAGACACACUGGGACUGAGACACGGCCCAGACUCCUACGGGAGGCAGCAGUAGGGAAUUUUGGACAAUGGGCGAAAGCCUGAUCCAGCAAUGCCGCGUGUGUGAUGAAGGCCUUCGGGUUGUAAAGCACUUUUGGCGGGAACGAAAAGGACUGUGCCAAUACCACGGUGCGAUGACGGUACCCGCAGAAUAAGCACCGGCUAACUACGUG